Molecule: long non-coding RNA, 482 nt
Filed under: Pandoravirus dulcis
Description: putative ncRNA
Source: RNAcentral
GGCCGGUUAUUUGGGCGCGCCCUUUUUUCGGCGGUCCAGACAAACCAGGCAUUUGCCUGGUUUGCCAACAAGAGACCGCGGGGGUUGUCUCUUUUUUUUUUCAUCUAUUCUUUUGGCCCCGUUGUUUGCCGUCAGCCGCGCGCGAGGCGUCGGGGCUCUUGGCCGAGUCCGGCGCCACCGACGGCGACGCGCGGUUUGUUCUGACCGAAGCCGACGCGCACCGCGUGGCCGCGCUCACCCGCGUCCAUUCCUCACAGGGUGAUGCUGUUGUUGCUCACGCCCCGCAACCCGCCGACCCUACAAAGAGCCGCGCCAAGAGAAACCCCGACCGCCCAAGACAGCCCGCCGCCACCGAGGCGCGACCCCGCGCCAAGAGGCGACGGACCGGCUCCAAGAACGGUCCGCCCAGUGCGCGCGACAAGAACACUAUGGACAAAAAUGCAAAGGCGCAAUAGAAUGGGGUCCGCCCGACCGCAACCAAG